CUACGGUCCGCACCAGUGGGGAAUUUUGCGCAAUGGGGGAAACCCUGACGCAGCAAUACCGCGUGAGUGAAGAAGGCCUUUGGGUCGUAAAGCUCUUUUCUUGGGGAAGAUAGUGACGGUACCCAAGGAAUAAGCACCGGCUAACUCCGUGCCAGCAGCCGCGGUAAUACGGAGGGUGCAAGCGUUGUUCGGAUUUACUGGGCGUAAAGGGCACGUAGGCGGCACAGCAAGUUAAGGGUGAAAUCCCGUGGCUCAACUCCGGAACUGCUCUUAAAACUGCUGAGAUAGAGAUAGUCAGAGGCGGGUGGAAUUCCAGGUGUAGAGGUGAAAUUCGUAGAUAUCUGGAGGAACACCGGUGGCGAAGGCGGCCCGCUGGGGCUAUUCUGACGCUAAGGUGCGAAAGCGUGGGGAGCAAACGGGAUUAAAUACCCUCGUAGUC
This 439-nucleotide ribosomal RNA is filed under the name uncultured bacterium. RNAcentral's name for it is "partial 16S ribosomal RNA". It matches the Rfam family "Bacterial small subunit ribosomal RNA", at positions 339 to 795 of the family's 1533-position model. The record is from RNAcentral.